RNAcentral lists this ribosomal RNA (463 nucleotides) under uncultured bacterium. Its description in RNAcentral is "partial 16S ribosomal RNA". It matches the Rfam family "Bacterial small subunit ribosomal RNA", at positions 28 to 507 of the family's 1533-position model. The record is from RNAcentral.
GAUGAACGCUGACAGAAUGCUUAACACAUGCAAGUCUUUCGCGAAGCUGUGCUUGCUCAUCCUAUCCAAGGCGCACGGGUGAGUAACGCGUAAGGAACUUGCCCUGCCGUCAGGGAUAAGAGACGGAAACGACUGAUAAGCCCUGGCAAAGUCAGACGGACUCAUGUCUAGCCUGAUGAAAAGAGAUGCUGCGGGAGAGACUUGGGUCCUAUUAGCUGGUUGGUGGGGUAAUGGCCCACCAAGGCGAUGAGAGGUACCCGGCCUGAGAGGGGGGACGGCCAAGAGGCGACUGGGAUACGGCAGUUGCUACUCCUGGAGGCAGCAGUGGGGAAUAUUGGACAAAGGGGGCAACCCUGAUCCAGCAAUUCUGUGUGUAAGAUGAAGGUUUUCGGAUUGUAAAGUGCUUUCAGUAAGGAAGAAAAAAAUGACGGUACCUGCAGAAGAAGCGACGGCUAAAUACGUG